Molecule: ribosomal RNA, 497 nt
Filed under: uncultured bacterium
Lineage: Bacteria
Description: partial 16S ribosomal RNA
Rfam family: Bacterial small subunit ribosomal RNA
Source: RNAcentral
GCUGCCCUCUUUCUUCGUGCCUAAUACAUGCAAGUCGAGCGAACAGACGAGGAGCUUGCUCCUCUGACGUUAGCGGCGGACGGGUGAGUAACACGUGGAUAACCUACCUAUAAGACUGGGAUAACUUCGGGAAACCGGAGCUAAUACCGGAUAAUAUAUUGAACCGCAUGGUUCAAUAGUGAAAGACGGUUUUGCUGUCACUUAUAGAUGGAUCCGCGCCGCAUUAGCUAGUUGGUAAGGUAACGGCUUACCAAGGCGACGAUGCGUAGCCGACCUGAGAGGGUGAUCGGCCUCACUGGAACUGAGACACGGUCCAGACUCCUACGGGAGGCAGCAGUAGGGAAUCUUCCGCAAUGGGCGAAAGCCUGACGGAGCAACGCCGCGUGAGUGAUGAAGGUCUUCGGAUCGUAAAACUCUGUUAUUAGGGAAGAACAAAUGUGUAAGUAACUAUGCACGUCUUGACGGUACCUAAUCAGAAAGCCACGGCUAACUACGUG